AUACGGAGGAUGCGAGCGUUAUCCGGAUUUAUUGGGUUUAAAGGGUGCGUAGGCUGUUCGUCAAGUCAGUGGUGAAAUGCCGGGGCUCAACCCCGGAGCUGCCAUUGAUACUGUCGGGCUUGAAUCCUGCUGCCGUGGGAGGAAUGAGUAGUGUAGCGGUGAAAUGCAUAGAUAUUACUCAGAACACCGAUUGCGAAGGCAUCUCACGAAACAGGCAUUGACGCUGAGGCACGAAAGCGUGGGGAUCAAACAGGAUUAGAUACCCUGGUAGUCCACGCAGUAAACGAUGAUGACUAACCGCUGGCGAUACAAUGUCAGUGGCCAAGCGAAAGCGAUAAGUCAUCCACCUGGGGAGUACGACCGCAAGGUUGAAACUCAAAUGAAUUGACGGGG
RNAcentral lists this ribosomal RNA (393 nucleotides) under uncultured bacterium. RNAcentral describes it as "partial 16S ribosomal RNA". It matches the Rfam family "Bacterial small subunit ribosomal RNA", at positions 523 to 918 of the family's 1533-position model. The record is from RNAcentral.